UGUCUGUAAUUCACUGCCACCUGUGCAUCUACAAAGCUGUGUUUAGUUGUGUCCAAAGCCGGGAUUCUCUAUUUCUGGGGCUGCCCUUACUUACUCUUCUUGUUGUUUCUUCAAAGGUGCAAAGUGGGAACUUGGAGAAGGGUUAAAGUGGUAGAAAGUUAUCAAACAAAAACAAAGAAACCGUGUUUUUUUUUUUCCCUUGGAGUUUUACAGGCAUGUUCCCUGCAGCCAUGUCCAAUUCAACUUCUUUGUCUGAGGACGCUAGUGCUUCUUCCGGUAAUAGAGUUCAGGAUUUUUGCUGCUUAAAUCCAGUGGUUUCCACCGUUUCUCCUCAGCAGCAGCAGCAACCCAAGAUCAAGAAGAAGAGAAGCCUACCAGGAAACCCAGACCCAGACGCUGAAGUGAUAGCAUUAUCUCCAAAGACCUUACUAGCUACCAAUAGAUUUGUGUGUGAGAUCUGCAACAAAGGGUUUCAGAGAGAUCAGAAUCUUCAACUUCACAGGAGAGGCCACAACCUUCCGUGGAAGCUGAAGCAACGAAACAGUAAAGAGAUCAAAAAGAGAGCCUAUGUUUGCCCUGAACCAUCAUGUGUUCACCACCAUCCUUCAAGGGCUCUGGGUGACCUCACGGGCAUCAAGAAACACUAUUGCAGAAAACACGGAGAGAAGAAAUGGAAGUGCGAAAAGUGUUCAAAGAUCUAUGCUGUUCAAUCAGAUUGGAAGGCUCACUCUAAAACUUGUGGAACUAGAGAGUAUAGAUGUGACUGUGGAACCCUUUUCUCCAGGAAGGAUAGCUUCAUAAC
This 802-nucleotide unclassified non-coding RNA is filed under the name Hevea brasiliensis (rubber tree). The record is from RNAcentral. Lineage: Eukaryota; Viridiplantae; Streptophyta; Magnoliopsida; Malpighiales; Euphorbiaceae.